CAAAAGUCAAAGAAACCAUCAAAAAUGAAUCUGGUACUGGAGGCAGUGAUGCAUGCCUAUACUCCUAUCUUCUCUGGAAGCUGAGGCAGGAGGAUCGCAAGUUCAAGGCUAGCCUGGGAAACUUAGACCCUGUCUGUAAAGAAAAAAUAAAAAGGGGUGGAGAUGUAGCUCAGUAAAAUAAAAUAAAAUCUGGAGGUGUGUGUGUGCAUGGAUCUUUCCCCCUCUGAGAUAUGAAGAGAAAUAUUUUAUUCCCUAGUAUAAACAAUUUCUCCUUGGGAAUACAAAGGAGGAUAUAGGUGUUUACCCUUUGGAAUAUAAAUAAAUUUCUCCACAGGAAAGAUAAGGCCAGAACUCUAGCUUUACCUCCUAGAGAUGUCUUCAUGGCCCUAGGGGUUCACUCCUCCUUAAGAUGAAAACACACAUACUUUGGGGGAGGUAAAUCUCUCUGGAAUUCUCAUUAGCUAAUCACUCUUCAAUUAAUUCCAGGCUUGGCCUUUCAACUCAGAUCCCAAAUCUCAGUAAAAUUUGUUCAAAAAACCUUAAUCAUGCAGAAAUAGAAUACUUUGCCUAUGUUGGCUGAACCACAGGCCUACCAUCUUAAAUGUCUCAUGAGCUGCUUGACUUAUGUGGCCUUCUUGGUUCUGAUUGUAAGCAUUUGCCUCUGAUGAGAUUUAGGAACAUGACACUCCCAAAUAUGGCAUUUUAGAUUUGAGAAGACAGCAGAAGCAGAAAGGACUCCCUGACCUCUUCCCCUUCCCCUCUGAAGUAGACCAUGAAAGAAUGAUCUUCUUUUGAAGCAAAUCAUGAGGUAGAAUAGAAGAGAUAAAGGCAGGUUGAAAGGAGACAAAAGGAAGGAAAAGGAGUACAAUUUUAAUCUAAAAGUCUUGUGCUAAAAUUCCUCAUACCUUCACUUCCAAUGUCAGUUUUUCCUCAGGCCCUUUACUCUCAAAUUUCUGAGAAUUCUACAGAGUUUUACUCAUUAUCUUCAACUUUCUGGAAAUUCACUAUAUACAUGUCCAUUACUGCAUACAUUUUAAAAAAUAGAUUGAGCAAAUUAAGAUAUGAAACUGGGGAAAUAUAGUGUAUUUCCCCAGUGUUAUCUAAUGAUCCAACAAUGGGGAAGACAUCAACCUAAGGAUCCCGAGAACUGCCAUACCACCACAAAACAUCUUGUGAUCACCAGACUGAUGUCAUCCCCACAUACCUUCCCAUGCCCACCACUCACAAGGUUUCCUUUAAGAGCCUGAGGCUGAAAAGCCUGUCUCACUUUCAAAAUAGCCUGCAUUCUUCUUUGAAUGUGUACUCCUUGCUUUUCUGAAUAACUCUCCGUUGGUGCCUCUACUUGAUAUGUCUUGAAAUUCCUUUCUCCAGUGUUUUUCAAGGAUCCUGUUUUCCUGAGUUGAGGGCCCCCUCUCCAGGAUUUCCUUGACACACCCCCACUCCAGUGACAAUAAGACUUUCAUUCAAGAGGUAACUUUUCUCUAUCUGAAUUAAAGGAAUAUCCUUUUUUCUGAAGACACAGGGACACAGAGUAGAACAUGAACAAACAACUUGCUCAAUUACUCCCAGUUUUUCACUAUUAGAUCAUUGUUAUCGUUUGGAUGUGAGGUGCCCCCCAAAAGCUCACAUAUGAGACAACCUUCUAAGGACUAAGACCUCAAGCCCUGAGGAAUGGAGCUGGCCUUCUAUGGACUAAGUUCUCUGAAACCAUGAGCCCUCAAAUAAACUUUUCCUCCUCUACAAUUGUUCUGGUUGGAUCUUUUAGUGAACUAAUUAAAACAAUCAUACAUAGCCUCUUGGUUCAGUCCUGCUUCUCCACAACUGUCCAUGCUGCAUCAAAGUUAGCAUAAAAAUACAUAGCUUUCCCUGCUUUUUUCCUUUCCUUAUGAAGGUUCCCAUGUCAUGUAAAACUUGUAUUAAGUAAUUCUGUGUGCUUUUCUCUUGUUAAGCUGUGCUUUGUUAUAGGUGCUUCAACCAUGAACCUACCAAUGAAUGAGAAACGACAUAUUUUUUCUCUUGUACCUCCAAGUUAUUAUCAAUACUUUGAUCAAAGAAUGUAUGUGUGCAUGACCAAUGUAAUUCUGCAACCUGUACACUUAGAAAAAUGAGAACUUAUAUC
This 2119-nucleotide long non-coding RNA is filed under the name Marmota monax (woodchuck). Lineage: Eukaryota; Metazoa; Chordata; Mammalia; Rodentia; Sciuridae. The record is from RNAcentral.